This 60-nucleotide microRNA precursor is filed under the name Bactrocera dorsalis (oriental fruit fly). RNAcentral's name for it is "microRNA bdo-mir-305 precursor". Its record names the gene bdo-mir-305. The record is from miRBase by way of RNAcentral. Lineage: Eukaryota; Metazoa; Arthropoda; Insecta; Diptera; Tephritidae.
AUUGUACUUCAUCAGGUGCUCUGGUGUUCGGGUUACCCGGCACAUGUUGAAGUACAUUCA